AAGGAUUUAAGUUAAAUAAACUAUUAACCUUCAAAGUUAACAUUAGAGAGAAAAUUUUCUAAGCCUUA
This 68-nucleotide transfer RNA is filed under the name Psacothea hilaris. Its description in RNAcentral is "tRNA-Trp". Lineage: Eukaryota; Metazoa; Arthropoda; Insecta; Coleoptera; Cerambycidae. The record is from RNAcentral.